This 2087-nucleotide long non-coding RNA is filed under the name Mus musculus (house mouse). RNAcentral's name for it is "long non-coding RNA chr1:136422585-136424672". Lineage: Eukaryota; Metazoa; Chordata; Mammalia; Rodentia; Muridae. The record is from RNAcentral.
GACCUGAGGAUAGGUUGGGGAAGUCUACACUGUCUGCUGUCCUCCACAGAGCAGAUAAAUCUUAGGUCUCCUCAUCGCUAAGAGCUUGGCCCAAGUUCUCACCAAUUGAGACCCAGAACUGACUCUUUAUCCCUUAAACUGUUUUACAGGGGUAUUUUAUUACAGCAACGGGAAAAGAAAGUAAGACAUCACAUCUCUGUCUUCUUCAGUCUGGUGGCUCUUCAGUCUUUGCAUUUUCUUUUUCAUGAUUUUGACACUUCUAAGAAUCACAGGUCUCUUCUUUUUGUUGUUGCUAUGAUUUUUGUUCUUCCAGACUUUUCUAGAAAAGUGUUUUGCCUGCCUAUACGUAUAUGCAUGUGAGCGUGCCUGGUGCAGAGGAUCUGGAGUUGUGAGCCAGCAUGUGUGUGCUGUGGACAGCAAGUGCUCCUAACCACUGAGCAAUCCUUUCAUUCUGUUCUUUUUCUUAACUUCUGUAUGUACAUAGUGCGUGUGUUCGAUGUAUGUGCACAUGUGUGUGCAGGUGUGUACUCCUGUGCACUUGCAGAGGCUGGAGGAGAGCACCAGGUGUCCUGCUCUGUCACACUCUGGGUUCUUCCCUUAGACAGGCUUUCUUACUGAAGCUAGAGGUCCAUGGUGCUGAGGUCACAGGCACAGAGGCAGCCAUAGCCAACUUCUGUGGGUGCUGAAGACGGGAGCUCAGGUCCUCAUCCGUGUACAGCCAGUGCUCUUACCUGCAGAGCCAGCCUCCCCAGCUCCUGCCCCAACCCCGCCUCUCCCUCCCUCUUGGUCUCAGACUUAUGGCAAUACUCCUGACUCAGCACUGAAGCGCUGCGGUUUCCCGUGUGCUCUCCCAUGCCCAGAUUUCAAACCAUUUUAAAGAGAAAUACCGCCUUGUCCUUUUCAUUGCGUCCUGUUUGGUGGCUAACUUUUACUAUUUCCUUCCUUGAGGUGCUGGGGUGGAGCUCCUGUCUCCUGCAUGCUGGAGAAGUUCUCCACCAGCCAGCUCUACCACUGCCUUGCUGAAUGCUAACCUGUCUUUUAACUAUAAAGUUUAUUUUUUCCCUUUUGUGUUUAGCAACUAUUUUGGGAGAAGUACUUUGAGAUACACAAAUGUCUUGUGUUCAUAGUGUGGAAUUAGGUUUCCUGUUUUAUUUAAGACUGUAGCCUUGUGUUGUGAUUUGGUUUAACCCUGAUUUGAUCAGUGGAAGAACCUUGAGCUGGUUUUCUUGGCUUUAGAUAAAAUCUCUAUUAUCUCUGAGUACUUACUCUCUACUAAAGGAGGUUCCUGUUUGCCUUAUAUUUCCCCUGUCAGCACUGGAUUUCUGCCUUUCUCAAGGAAGCCUUUAGCAGAGAGACCUACGUCAGGGACUACAGGGGUGCACUUUUUGUUGUCGUUGUUUUUACUUUUUUAAAAGAUUUAUUUAUUUUAUAUAUAUGUGAGUAUACUGUCAUGGUCUUCAGACAUACCAGAAGAAGGCAUCAGAUCCCGUUACAGAUGGUUGGGAGCCACCAUGUGGUUGCUGGGAUUUGAAUUCAGGACCUCUGGAAGAGCAGUCAGUGCUCUUAACCGAUGAGCCAUCUCUCCUGCCUGUGUUGUUGCUUUUGAACCACUCACCUUCCUCUUAUUGAUCCUCUAGACUCAUCUUUAUGUUCUAGGCAGACAUCUCCACUUAUUGUACAUCAGAUGUAUCACAAUGACACUUACAUUAUCUGUUUCUUCCUGUAGACUACAGAUUGUCUGAGAGCAGAAACUGUGUAUGACUUAGCCAUAGGGGUACUUGACAUAGUAUAUAGAAUACAGUAGGUACUCAGUAAAAAUAGAAUAAAAGGCCAGGUAUGGUGGUGCACACCUACAAUCCCAGCAUGCAGAGGUAGAGGCAGGAGGAUGACAAGUUCAAAGCAAGCCUGGGAUACAUAGUAAGAUCCCUGCUUAAAAGAAAAAUGGGAGCCGGGCGUGUUGGCCCACGCCUUUAAUCCCAGCACUUGGGAGGUAGAGGCAGGUGGAUUUCUGAGUUCGAGGCCAGCCUGGUCUAAAAAGUGAGUUCCAGGACAGCCAGGGCUAUUCAGAGAAACUGUCUCGAAAAACC